UACGAAGGGGGCGAGCGUUGUUCGGAUUUACUGGGCGUAAAGGGCGCGCAGGCGGUUCUGUUUGUCGAGUGUGAAAGCCCCGGGCUCAACCUGGGAACUGCGCUCGAAACGGCGGAACUAGAGUUCGGGAGAGGAGAGUGGAAUUCCCAGUGUAGAGGUGAAAUUCGUAGAUAUUGGGAAGAACACCGGUGGCGAAGGCGGCUCACUGGCUCGUUUCUGACGCUCAGGCGCGACAGCGUGGGGAUCAAACAGG
RNAcentral lists this ribosomal RNA (253 nucleotides) under uncultured bacterium. RNAcentral describes it as "partial 16S ribosomal RNA". It matches the Rfam family "Bacterial small subunit ribosomal RNA", at positions 524 to 776 of the family's 1533-position model. The record is from RNAcentral.